Molecule: ribosomal RNA, 474 nt
Filed under: uncultured bacterium
Lineage: Bacteria
Description: SSU rRNA
Rfam family: Bacterial small subunit ribosomal RNA
Source: RNAcentral
AGGAUGAACGCUGGCGGCGUGCCUAACACAUGCAAGUCGAACGUCCUGUCUCGCAAGAGGCAGGGAGUGGCGGACGGGUGAGUACCACGUGGGUCAUCUACCGUGAGGUGAGGAAUACCGGCGAGAAAUCGCCGACAAGACCGCAUAGGCUCGAUGCAAGUCGAGCAAAGCUCUUUCGAGAGAGGGAGCGCCACACGAGGAGCCUGCGCCCGAUUAGCUAGCUGGUGGAGUAAUGGUUCACCAGGGCGACGAUCGGUAGCUGGUCUGAGAGGACGAUCAGCCACACUGGGAUUGAGAACGGCCCAGACUCCUACGGGGGGCAGCAGUGAGGAAUUUUCGCAAUGGGGGCAACCCUGAACGAGCAACGCCGCGUGCAGGAGAAGGUUUUCGGAUCGUAAACUGCUUUUCUCGGGGAAGAGAACGGACGGUACCCGAGGAAUCAGCCCCGGCUAACUACGCGCCAGCAGCCGCGGU